RNAcentral lists this ribosomal RNA (1526 nucleotides) under uncultured prokaryote. Its description in RNAcentral is "partial 16S ribosomal RNA". It matches the Rfam family "Bacterial small subunit ribosomal RNA". The record is from RNAcentral.
AGAGUUUGAUCCUGGCUCAGAACGAACGUUGGCGGCGUGGAUUAGGCAUGCAAGUCGUACGAGAAAGUUCCCUUCGGGGAGCGAGUACAGUGGCGAACGGGUGAGUAACGGGUGGGAAACCUGCCUUUCUGUGGGGGAUAACAUUCCUAACGGGGUGCUAAUACCGCAUGGUUCGGCGCAUCGCAUGGUGUGCUGUGAUAAAGAUGGCCUCUACAUGUAAGCUGUCGCAGAAAGAUGGUCCCGCCUCCCAUUAGCUUGUUGGUAGGGUAACGGCCUACCAAGGCUCUGAUGGGUAGCCGGCCUGAGAGGGUGUCCGGCCACACUGGGACUGAGAUACGGCCCAGACUCCUACGGGAGGCAGCAGUCGAGAAGCUUCGGCAAUGGGCGAAAGCCUGACCGAGCGACGCCGCGUGAGGGAUGACGGCCCUAGUGGUUGUAAACCUCUGUCAGGGGGGAAUAACGCAUGAUAGUUAAUAGCUUUCGUGUUUGAAGGUACCUCCAAAGGAAGCUCCGGCUAACUCCGUGCCAGCAGCCGCGGUAAUACGGAGGGAGCAAACGUUGUUCGGAUUUACUGGGUGUAAAGGGUGCGUAGGCGGCCCUGUGUGUCAGAGGUGAAAUCCCACGGCUCAACCGUGGAAUUGCCUUUGAAACUGCAGGGCUUGAGUCCGAGAGGGGAAGGUGGAAUUCCUGGUGUAACGGUGAAAUGUGCAGAUAUCAGGAAGAACACCAGUGGCGAAGGCGGCCUUCUGGCUCGGAACUGACGCUGAGGCACGAAAGCUAGGGUAUCGAACGGGAUUAGAUACCCCGGUAGUCCUAGCCGUAAACGAUGUCCACUAGGUGUUGGGGGUCCUACCCCCUCAGUGCCGCCCGCUAACGCAUUAAGUGGACCACCUGGGGAGUACGAUCGCAAGGUUGAAACUCAAAGGAAUUGACGGGGGCCCGCACAAGCGGUGGAGCAUGUGGUUUAAUUCGAUGCAACGCGAAGAACCUUACCUGGACUUGACAUGCAGGUGUCAGCCGUGGAAACACGGUCUCUCUUCGGAGCACCUGUGCAGGUGCUGCAUGGCUGUCGUCAGCUCGUGUCGUGAAAUGUUGGGUUAAGUCCCGCAACGAGCGCAACCCUUGUCCUUAGUUGCCAUCAGGUUAUGCUGGGAACUCUAGGGAGACUGCCGGUGACAAACCGGAGGAAGGUGGGGACGACGUCAAGUCAUCAUGGCCCUUACGCCCAGGGCUACACACGUGCUACAAUGGUCGGUACAAAGGGCAGCAAUACAGCGAUGUGGAGCGAAUCCCAGAAAGCCAGUCUCAGUUCGGAUUGUAGUCUGCAACUCGACUACAUGAAGUCGGAAUCGCUAGUAAUCGCGUAUCAGAACGACGCGGUGAAUACGUUCCCGGGCCUUGUACACACCGCCCGUCAAGUCAACCGAGUUGGUUGCACCCCAAGUCGCUGAGCUAACCCCUUCGGGGGAGGCAAGUGCCCAAGGUGUGAUUGGCGAGGGGCGGACCUAAGUCGUAACAAGGUAACC